GAUGAACGCUGGCGGCGUGCCUAAUACAUGCAAGUCGAGCGAACAGACGAGGAGCUUGCUCCUCUGACGUUAGCGGCGGACGGGUGAGUAACACGUGGAUAACCUACCUAUAAGACUGGGAUAACUUCGGGAAACCGGAGCUAAUACCGGAUAAUAUAUUGAACCGCAUGGUUCAAUAGUGAAAGACGGUUUUGCUGUCACUUAUAGAUGGAUCCGCGCCGCAUUAGCUAGUUGGUAAGGUAACGGCUUACCAAGGCAACGAUGCGUAGCCGACCUGAGAGGGUGAUCGGCCACACUGGAACUGAGACACGGUCCAGACUCCUACGGGAAGCAGCAGUAGGGAAUCUUCCGCAAUGGGCGAAAGCCUGACGGAGCAACGCCGCGUGAGUGAUGAAGGUCUUCGGAUCUUAAAACUCUGUUAUUAGGGAAGAACAAAUGUGUAAGUAACUAUGCACGUCUUGACGGUACCUAAUCAGAAAGCCACGGCUAACUACGUG
Molecule: ribosomal RNA, 497 nt
Filed under: uncultured bacterium
Lineage: Bacteria
Description: partial 16S ribosomal RNA
Rfam family: Bacterial small subunit ribosomal RNA
Source: RNAcentral